This 253-nucleotide ribosomal RNA is filed under the name uncultured bacterium. RNAcentral describes it as "partial 16S ribosomal RNA". It matches the Rfam family "Bacterial small subunit ribosomal RNA", at positions 524 to 776 of the family's 1533-position model. The record is from RNAcentral.
UACGUAGGUGGCAAGCGUUGUCCGGAUUUACUGGGCGUAAAGAGCGCGCAGGCGGUCGGAUCAGUCGAAUGUGAAAGCCCCCGGCUCAACUGGGGAGGGUCAUUCGAUACUGUCCGACUCGAAGGCAGGAGAGGGAAGCGGAAUUCCCGGUGUAGUGGUGAAAUGCGUAGAUAUCGGGAGGAACACCAGUGGCGAAGGCGGCUUUCUGGCCUGUUCUUGACGCUGAUGCGCGAAAGCCAGGGGAGCAAACGGG